RNAcentral lists this ribosomal RNA (237 nucleotides) under uncultured bacterium. RNAcentral describes it as "partial 16S ribosomal RNA". It matches the Rfam family "Bacterial small subunit ribosomal RNA", at positions 118 to 347 of the family's 1533-position model. The record is from RNAcentral.
UGAGCAAUCUGCCCUUCUCAUCGGAAUAAGCGUUGGAAACGACGUCUAAUGCCGAAUACGACCUCCUUUCGCAUGAUCGGAGGUGGAAAGCUCCGGCGGAGAAGGAUGAGCUCGCGGCCUAUCAGCUAGUUGGUGUGGGUAAUGGCCCACCAAGGCGACGACGGGUAGCCGGCCUGAGAGGGUGACCGGCCACACUGGGACUGAGACACGGCCCAGACCUCCGUACGGGAGCAAACG